CGUGGGCUGAUGAUCCAUGGGCAUCCGCCGAAUUGGUGACCGCCAUCACCGAUGAGGCUGAUGAUCCAUGGGCACUCUUGGAAGUGACGACCCGUGAUGACUCGUCUGAUGAGGCUGAUGAUCCAUGGGCAUCCGCCGAAUUGGUGGCCGCCAUCACCGAAGAGGCUGAUGAUGCAUGGGCAGCCUUCGAGAUGAUGACCAGUGAUGACUGGUCCGUAGAGACUGAUGCCUUCCUGGACGUCACGGCCAUCUGUGCUGUCGUUGUGUAAAUUGUCAUGCUUCACUAAGCAGCCUGGUAACACACUCACCAGUGACCCCCGGCGCAGGCGCGAGCCACAUCGUGAGCCACACUCCCGGGGAGCGAGACACCCUUCAGUGACCGUCGCUCUUAUUACACCUUCAGGGGAGGAGCUCCAGCUGUAUUUCUUAUCUUAUCAAUGAAAA
Molecule: long non-coding RNA, 444 nt
Organism: Eriocheir sinensis (Chinese mitten crab)
Lineage: Eukaryota; Metazoa; Arthropoda; Malacostraca; Decapoda; Varunidae
Exons: 2
Source: RefSeq, a predicted model, not a curated record